Molecule: ribosomal RNA, 331 nt
Filed under: Nostoc sp. phyco2
Lineage: Bacteria; Bacillati; Cyanobacteriota; Cyanophyceae; Nostocales; Nostocaceae
Description: bacterial SSU rRNA
Rfam family: Bacterial small subunit ribosomal RNA
Source: RNAcentral
UGAUAGUGGCGGACGGGUGAGUAACGCGUGAGAAUCUAGCUCUAGGUCGGGGACAACCACUGGAAACGGUGGCUAAUACCGGAUGAGCCGAAAGGUAAAAGAUUAAUUGCCUAGAGAUGAGCUCGCGUCUGAUUAGCUAGUUGGUGUGGUAAGAGCGCACCAAGGCGACGAUCAGUAGCUGGUCUGAGAGGAUGAUCAGCCACACUGGGACUGAGACACGGCCCAGACUCCUACGGGAGGCAGCAGUGGGGAAUUUUCCGCAAUGGGCGAAAGCCUGACGGAGCAAUACCGCGUGAGGGAGGAAGGCUCUUGGGUUGUAAACCUCUUUUCU